This 497-nucleotide ribosomal RNA is filed under the name uncultured bacterium. Its description in RNAcentral is "partial 16S ribosomal RNA". It matches the Rfam family "Bacterial small subunit ribosomal RNA", at positions 28 to 507 of the family's 1533-position model. The record is from RNAcentral.
GACGAACGCUGGCGGCGUGCCUAAUACAUGCAAGUUGAGCGCUGAAGGUUGGUACUUGUCCCGACUGGAUGAGCAGCGAACGGGUGAGUAACGCGUGGGGAAUCUGCCUUUGAGCGGGGGACAACAUUUGGAAACGAAUGCUAAUACCGCAUAAAAACUUUAAACACAAGUUUUAAGUUUGAAAGAUGCAAUUGCAUCACUCAAAGAUGAUCCCGCGUUGUAUUAGCUAGUUGGUGAGGUAAAGGCUCACCAAGGCGAUGAUACAUAGCCGACCUGAGAGGGUGAUCCGCCACAAUGGGACUGAGACACGGCCCAAACCCCUACGGGAGGCAGCAGGAGGGGAUCUUCGGCAAAGGACGAAAGUCUGACCGAGCAACGCCGCGUGAGUGAAGAAGGGUUUCGGAUCGUAAAACUCUGUUGGUAGAGAAGAACGUUGGUGAGAGUGGAAAGCUCAUCAAGUGACGGUAACUACACAGAAAGGGACGGCUAACUACGUG